UCACCACAACAUCAAACAUCAACCAAGAAUGAUGCAUCCAUGGUCAAGUGCCAUUUCCAUCACAUAGCAAGAUUUAGACCAUGGGCUAGGUAGAACUCAAGCUAACAACUAAAACAUGCAUGCAUCUCAUGGAACAUCAUCAAACAUACCUUAGCCUAGCUACAUGCAUGGCCGAAUCUCUUCACCUUUCUUCUUCUUUCCUCCUUAAAAUUUUUGGCCAAGGAUGAACCAAAGGAUGAGAAAAUUUUUUCUUUGUUUUUCUUUCUAAUUUAGGCUAAAUGAAGGUGAGAAAAGGAUGAACAAAGAUCUUCUCCUCUCUUUUCUUUAGCUCACGGCAAUGGGGGGGGGGAAAGAAUCAACUACACACUUUUUUUUUUUUGUGUAUUCAUCAAACUCCUUUUCAUUAUUUAAUUUCCAUGCCUAUUAUUUUAUUUUUUUCCACCCAUGAUGCACCAACAAAACAUGUCUAUGACAUGUCUUGGCCAUCAAACUUGGUCUACCAUGCUUGUCAUGGCCGGCCACUACUAGUAGGGGGGGAAUUUGACAUGCAAGUCCCCCCUUUGUCCACAUGCACUAAUAGGUCCUCACACAUUGACCUAUCACAUUUUAGAAUUUUCUCACAUAAGUCCUAUUGACUAAAUUCACAUGAAAUCAACCAAAUUGAAGCUUGAAAUUUUCACACAUUCAUAAUUACAUAUUCUAGACAAUAAGUAUCACAUUCAAACAUUUCGGUGACUCGGUUUAGCGGUCCCGAAACUACUUCCCGACUAGGGUCAACUUUGGGCUGUCACAACUUAACAGCUUGGUGCAAUAAAAGAUAGUACCGCAACUGGGCUACAAUUGAUGUGUAUCGGAUGGGUGGGUCGAUAUUUAUAUCCCCACAUGAUGUGUAUCGAGGGACGGAGUUGAUGUGUACCAGUUGGAUUAUUGGGGUGGGUUGCACUGUAUUGCAUUGCAUUGCAUUGCAUGUAUGAUUUUAUGGAUUGAUGAAUGCUUAUUACUCGUCGAGGAAUGUACACACUGAGUUUUCAAAAAGUCACUCCCUUUCUCAGGUGAUGCUCAGUAGAAGGCUCGAUGUUUGGGGGGGACUCGGAGGUGGCCAGCUAGCAAGAUGACUUGGACUUGUUUUUUUGAAAAGAAAGCAUAUAGUUUCUAGCUUAUGAAGUAGUUUCAGACUAGAAUGAAAUAAGACCUUCCCUUUUAUUAUUAUUUGGAUUGUUAUUUUUAUGCGUUGUAAUUAUGAGAAGGUGAACAUGGGUUUCCUAAAUCAUAGAUUGUUUUUCUACAUUUCCACAACUAAAUUUUAAAAUGACAGGCUUUCAUAAAUCAUAUGUUUUAAACAAGCUUUCGCGAUUGAAAGAGAGUUUUUAUAAGUUAAUUAAUGUUUCUUAUUUUAAGAAGGGUUUUUAAUGAAAAUAAGGUUUUUGCUAAAACACUUCAAUGUGACACGUCAGAUUCAGCUAUAACGUCCGGGCCAGGUUUGGGGUGUUAUAUUUAGUGGUAUCAGAGCCCGGUUACAAAACUAGGGUUGUGAAGUGGGCCUUAUUAUUUGGGGUUUUUUUGUUUUAAAAAAAUCACAAUAUUUUGGAAGAAAAAAAUUCUUACUAUACGGUACACCGAGUCUCCGACGUUAAACCAAGUAAGUUCUUUUAUUCUUAAGCUUGUGUAAUUUGAUAUACUGUAGGUAGUUAGUGGGCUACUUUAGAUGAUUAUGCUAAGGUUUUCAGAUUGAAACUAAAGCCCGUAAGACCCUGAAAUUGUAGAGGAUUUACGAAAAUAACCUUCUUUUAAUACUUCCAUAAAACAUCGGUUUAAUUAUUAAAACUAACUAAAACUUCAUAAAAUUUCUAAUCCAGAUAAUACCUGAGACAACGAUGAGUGCUAAAAGAGGUGCAAGAGGCCAUGGCCGAGGUCGCGGAAGUAUUAGGGCUGAAUCGUCGGCAUCGGGUCAUAUACCCAAUGUUAGGGUAGAAGAGGCUCCGGCCUCACCCGUGGCUGAGAAUGGACCGUAUGAUCGGGCCAUGGGGGAAGAUGCAUUGUCACAGGCAAUGUUGAGGAUUUUGGAAAGGGUCGCAGGGCCCAGUAAUGGAACGGGAAAUCGGGGGACCAUUUCGGAGCGACUUCGAUCAAAUGGGGCUGAGAUCUUUAAUGGCAUGGCUGGUAUGGCUCCUAACAUGGUAAAAUACUGGUUGGAGGCCAUCAAAAGGAUAAUAGAGGACUUGGACUGUUCUCUUGAACAAAAUUGAAAGGGGUAGUGUCACUGCUUAAGGAAGAAUUGUAACACCCCGAACCCGAGACCAUCACCGGAGUCGAACACAAGGUGUUAACAGACUUUUAAAAAUUUUCCAGACACUGCCAAUCUGCGUAAUAGUCGCUUUAAAAAUCAUAUCUUGAGUUUCACAACUCGAAAAUCAGUUUCGUGAUUUUUCCCUGAAAAUAGACUCACAUGCCCAUCUACAUAUUUUUUUCUAGAAUUUUUGGUCAGGCCAAUUAGUACAGUUUAUUAGUCAAAGUCUCCCAUGUUACAGGGGUCGACUACACUGACCUUUUCCCAUUACAACUUGGAUAUCUCUCUGUACAGAGCUUCAAUACUGAUACCGUUUGCUUCUAUGGAAACUAGACUCAGAGAGGAAGCCUUAAAUAUAUGGUAUGACCCCUAAUUAUCUCUGGUCAAUUUAUAGUGAAUUUUUAAAGUCGGAACAGGGAAUCCAGAAACUGUUCUGGCCCUGUUCCACAAGAACCCGAAUAUCUCUUACUGUACUGUUCAUAUGAUUGUUUCGUUACUUUCAUAUGAAAGUAGACUCAUCAAGGUUCGAUUACAUAAUUUAUUCACUAUUUAAUUCCACUCCUACGAAUUCUUGUGAUUUUUCCAAUCCACACCACUGCUGCUGUCAGCCUCUGUUUUCAAAGUAAACCUUACCUAUUUUCGGGGUUUCAUGGACCAACUAGGGCCUUGUCAUACAUAUGCCCACAUAUGAUCAUACUUAGCCAUUCCAAUGGCUGAUCAUUUGCUCAACACUUCCAUUCCAACUAUAGUUUCAUCAUGAAACCAUCUAUACAUUCAUAAACACGAAUGGUCUAAUGCCAUACUCCACUUCUACAAGCCAUUUUCGCAUGGCUGUACACUUAUACAUUUCAUAAAGUACUCGAAAAACAACAAUGGGUAGUCCUAUACAUGCCAUAUCAAAAUUCAACCAAAAUAGUACCCAAAAGAGCCUUUGAUAGUGUGGGCGACUUCGACUUCAAGAUCCCGAGUCCGAUAGCUGGAGAACCAAAAAUCUAUAAAACAGAGGAGCAGUGUAACGAGUAAGCAAUUUAUGCUUAGUAAGUUUUGAGCAAGGAAUUCCAGCAUAAACAAAGAAUAACACACAUUUAGCUAAACGGAAUAUUUCAUAAUACGCAAUUUACCGAUAUCAAACUUGCUUCACAACAUUAACAACCCUUAUGUACAUACACAAUAGACUAACUUAGCCGAAGGCCGGUAGCUCGUUUAUCAACUGAGCGAACAUUUAUUUGUAAGGGCUCGAUUAAAUUCAACACAUACGUAACAUAUCCCCAUAUUGGGAUGUUUUUCGAGUAUUCGCUGGAAUUUUACAGCAAGCUCAUUGAUUACCAAAUCACGUACCUUCGGGAUUUAACCGGAUAUGGCUCCUCGUUCAAAUGCCUUCGGGACAUAGCCCGGUUUUAGUAACUCACACAAUGCCUUCGGGACAUAACCCGGAUUUAAUAACUCGCACGAAUGCCUUCGAGACUUAACCCGGAUUUAGUAUCUCGCACAAAGGCCUUCCGGGCUUAACCCGGAAUUUGUAUCUCGCACAAAUGCCUUCGGAUCUUAGUCCGGAUAUAUUCACUUAGCACAAAGCCUUCGGGACUUAGCCCGGACAGCAUUCAAUUAAUCAUGCACAUCUAACAAUAAUUCAUGGCACAUUCAUAUUUCAUUUUCAUUUGCGAAACUCAAACACAAGGCACAUAUCGUCCUUGCACAUUCGGCUCAAUAGCCACACAUAGAGCAUGAUUUAAUCACAUCGUAAUUUAAGCUCUCUUACUCACGAACUUACCUCGGGUGUUGUCGAAUGAUUCCGCUAGCUAUUCAACCACUUUUUCCUUCCCUUUAUCGGAUUUAUUUUCCCUUUGCUCUUGAGCUUAAUUAAGCAAAUAAAUUGAUUUCAUCAUUUAGGCAUCAAAAAGAUGAACACAAGGCACUUAGCCCAUAUUUAUACAUUAGACAUUAAAGUCUCAUACAUGCAAAAAUCAUGCAUCAACACAACAUAUUAGCUAAUUUCUUUCCCCUUGGCCGAAUAUGCAUGUCUAUUUUUGGGGUCGAUUUCAACACUUAAUACACACAUAUACACACUAGUAAAGCAUCCUCCCCCUUUUCAUCAAUUUAACACAUGCAUUGCUCAUUAACAUGCAAAGUUACAUUCGGCCUUAGCACACAUCUUGCUAGCCGAUUCUUCUCCAUUUAGCAACCAAUGCACAUAUGUGCUCACACAAAAAUGCUAAAAAGGAGGUUCAAGAAUCAUCAAGCCAUCAUCACAUGCAUCAUUAACAAGCUUCAUUUUUUGCAUGCAAUGGCAUUAACACAACCUCCACCUAGGCCGAAUCUUAACUCAUCCUCAUGCCUCAUCACCACAACAUCGAACACCAACCAAGAAUGAUGCAUCCAUGGUCAAGUGCCAAUUCCAUCACAUAGCAAGAUUUAGACCAUGGGCUAGGUAGAACUCAAGCUAACAACUAAAACAUGCAUGCAUCUCAUGGAACAUCAUCAAACAUACCUUAGCCUAGCUACAUGCAUGGUCGAAUCUCUUCACCUUUCUUCUUCUUUCCUCCUUAAA
This 4835-nucleotide long non-coding RNA is filed under the name Gossypium barbadense (sea-island cotton). RNAcentral's name for it is "long non-coding RNA (GBAR_LNC000729)". Lineage: Eukaryota; Viridiplantae; Streptophyta; Magnoliopsida; Malvales; Malvaceae. The record is from RNAcentral.